RNAcentral lists this ribosomal RNA (497 nucleotides) under uncultured bacterium. RNAcentral describes it as "partial 16S ribosomal RNA". It matches the Rfam family "Bacterial small subunit ribosomal RNA", at positions 28 to 507 of the family's 1533-position model. The record is from RNAcentral.
GACGAACGCUGGCGGCGUGCCUAAUACAUGCAAGUAGAACGCUGAAGAGAGGAGCUUGCUCUUCUUGGAUGAGUUGCGAACGGGUGAGUAACGCGUAGGUAACCUGCCUUGUAGCGGGGGAUAACUAUUGGAAACGAUAGCUAAUACCGCAUAACAAUGGAUGACACAUGUCAUUUAUUUGAAAGGGGCAAUUGCUCCACUACAAGAUGGACCUGCGUUGUAUUAGCUAGUAGGUGAGGUAAUGGCUCACCUAGGCGACGAUACAUAGCCGACCUGAGAGGGUGAUCCGCCACACUGGGACCGGGGCACGGCCCAGACGCCUACGGGAGGGAGCAGGUGGGAAUCCUCGGGAAAUGGGGCAACCCUGACCGAGCAACGCCGCGUGAGUGAAGAAGGGUUUCGGAUCGUAAAGCUCUGUUGUAAGUCAAGAACGGGUGUGAGAGUGGAAAGUUCACACUGUGACGGUAGCUUACCAGAAAGGGACGGCUAACUACGUG